Non-coding RNA from Haemonchus placei, 75 nucleotides. The record is from Rfam. Lineage: Eukaryota; Metazoa; Nematoda; Chromadorea; Rhabditida; Trichostrongylidae.
GGCACAAAUUAGAAGUAGAGUAGAUUUAUAGGAUCAGGUGAUCAUACUAAUCUACUUUGCUUCGAAUUUGUGUCC